GGACUACAAGGGUAUCUAAUCCUGUUUGCUCCCCACGCUUUCGCGCCUCAGCGUCAGUCCUCUGAUAGAAGCUCGCCUUCGCCACCGGUGUUCUUCCAGAUAUCUACAGAUUUCACCCCUACACCUGGAAUUCCAGCUUCCCCUCAAGAACUCCAGCCCACCAGUUUCCAGCGCAUAUGCAAGGUUAAGCCCUGCGAUUUCACACCAGACUUGAUGAGCCGCCUACACGCCCUUUACGCCCAAUAACUCCGAACAACGCUUGCCCCAUACGUAUUACCGCGGCGGCUGGCAC
Molecule: ribosomal RNA, 292 nt
Filed under: uncultured bacterium
Lineage: Bacteria
Description: partial 16S ribosomal RNA
Source: RNAcentral